RNAcentral lists this non-coding RNA (89 nucleotides) under Lachnoanaerobaculum saburreum F0468. The record is from RNAcentral. Lineage: Bacteria; Bacillati; Bacillota; Clostridia; Lachnospirales; Lachnospiraceae.
GAAAGCCGUAUACAUCGAGAGGUGUCCGUGCGGUUUGGGAGGGAGUGGAAGCGAGUCCUUUUCGGAGGAUGAGCUGAAACUUACCUCAU